UUAAAGAAAAGUUUAAUUUGGUUUUAAGUGUAAAUGGAUUAUUUAAUAAAAUCAUUUUUAUUUAUUUAUGUUUUUGUAUAGGUUAUAGAUUAAAUUUAUGGAUUGAUAGUUUAUUUGUAUUGUGAGAGGUUAUUGAAAUAGUGUGAAAAAUUUUAUUUUUUGGGAAGUAGUUUAAUUUAAAUGUACCUUGUGUAUCAGGGUUUAUUAAAAAAUUUUUAAUUAUUUAAAUUUUCUCGAUUUGAAGAGGGCUAAGGAAUUUUGUUAGUUAUUGUGGAAUAAAUAUUAAUGAAAAUUUUUUAGAAAUGAAACGUUAUUCGUUCUUCAAGGUAUCUAGUUUUUUAAGAAAUGAAUUUAAUUCAGCUGGUUGUGUUAAUUAGUUUAAUUUAUUAAUUUAAUUUAUUUAAUCAGUAAUAUUUUGGGGGAUAAGCUUUGAGAUAUAAUCUAAAAAUUGGUUUUUAAUUUAAGAAAUUUAGUAGGCUUAGAAUUAGCUAUUUAAAAUGGUGUUAUAACCUUAUUUCUGUAACUAAAAUUUUUUUUGAGGUUUUGGAUUGUUUAUUAAAAUUUGUUAUUUAAUUUAUUGUUAAUAGUAAUAAUGAUGAAAUUAGUAUAGAUUUGAUUUGUAGUAAUUUAUAGUUUUUAUGAGAGGUUAUAUUAAGGAAUUAGGCAAAUUUACGCUCGCCUGUUUAACAAAAACAUGUCUUCAUGUAGUGAAUAUGAAGUCUGACCUGCCCACUGAAAAUAAUUUGAAGGGCCGCAGUAUCUUGACUGUGCAAAGGUAGCAUAAUCAUUAGUCUUUUAAUUGGAGGCUAGAAUGAAUGGUUGGACGAGGUGUAAACUGUCUCAGUAUAAUUGUAUUUAGAAUUUAACUUUUGAGUUAAAAGGCUCAAAUUUUAUUAAAGGACGAGAAGACCCUAUAGAGCUUUAUAUUUAAUAUUUAUAAUAUGUUUGUAGAAAAAAUAUAUGUAUUAUUUUGGAAGUAUUUUGUUGGGGUGACAGGAAGAUUAAUUAAACUCUUUUUAUUGUUUAACAUUGAUUUAUGAUUAGUUGAUCCAUUAUUAGUGAUUAUAAGACUAAGUUACCUUAGGGAUAACAGCGUAAUUUUUUUUGAGAGUUCUUAUCGACAAGAAAGAUUGCGACCUCGAUGUUGGAUUAAAAGUAAUCUUGGGUGCAGAAGUUCAAGGUUUAGGUCUGUUCGACCUUUAAAUUUUUACAUGAUCUGAGUUCAGACCGGCGUAAGCCAGGUCGGUUUCUAUCCUUAAUUUUUUAUGAUGUUUUAGUACGAAAGGACCAGACAUUGGGAUUAAUUCUUGUAAAUAUUGAUUUAAAUUAAUGAA
RNAcentral lists this ribosomal RNA (1334 nucleotides) under Cryptoperla kawasawai. RNAcentral's name for it is "16S ribosomal RNA". The stretch from base 893 to 1260 matches the Rfam family "Bacterial large subunit ribosomal RNA", at positions 2072 to 2648 of the family's 2925-position model. The record is from RNAcentral. Lineage: Eukaryota; Metazoa; Arthropoda; Insecta; Plecoptera; Peltoperlidae.